RNAcentral lists this long non-coding RNA (2845 nucleotides) under Homo sapiens (human). RNAcentral's name for it is "HSALNT0247799". The record is from RNAcentral. Lineage: Eukaryota; Metazoa; Chordata; Mammalia; Primates; Hominidae.
GACCCUGUCUCAAAAAAUAUUUUAAAAAUUGCAGGGAGAAAUUCACAAAUCUACAAUUAUAGUUAGAGAUUUCUACAACCCUCUCUCCAUAAUUGGGAGAACAAGUAAACAGAAAGUAAGUGUAUAGAAGACUUGAAAAACACAAUCAACCAACUUGACAUAUUUAACCCAUCACAGUCCACUUUCAAGUAGUAAUAUAUCAUGGCCACUCUUGUUAAAAACUCUUGGCAAACUAGGAAUAGAAGGAAAUGUCCUCAACCUGAUAAAGGGCAUCUUCAAAAACCGACAACUAACAUCAUACUUAAUAGAAAGACUAAAUUCUUUCCCCCUAAGAAACAACUGGAUAUCCAUAUGGAAAAAAAAGAAUUUUGUUCCAUACCUGACACCAUAAUCAAAACAUUACUCAAAGUGAAUCAGAUGUAAAUGCAAAACCUAAAAGUAUUAAACUUCUAGAAAAACAAUAGAAGAAAAUCUAUCUGAUCUUGGGUUAAUCAAAGGAUUUUGAGAUAUAACACCAAAAGCGUGACCUAUUAAAAAAAACUGAUAAAUUAGACUUUAUUAACAUUUAAAGUUUCUGCUCUUCAAAAGACAGCGUUAAGUGAAUGAAAAGCCAAGCUACAGACUCAGAGAAAAUAUUUGCAAGUCAUAUCUGACAAAUAGCUUGUAUGUAGAAUAUAUAAAAACCUUCAAAACUCAGGAAAAAACAUUUAAAAAUGGACAAAAGAUCUGAACAAAGAUUCACUAAAGAAGAUAUCAAUAGCAAACAAAUAUUCAAUAGAAAAGAUAUUCAACAUCACUACACAUUAAAGUAAUGCAAAUUAAAACCCCAGUAAGGUUCCACUACCCACCUAUUAGAAUGACUAAAGUUAAGACUGAUCAUUCUGACUUGGCACGGUGGCUCACGCCUGUAAUCCCAGCACUUUGGGAGGCUGAGAUGGAUCACCUGAGGUCGGGAGUUCGAGACCAACCUGACCAACAUGGAGAAACCCCAUUUCUACUAAAAAUACAAAAUUAGCUGGGCGUGGUAGCACAUGCCUGUAAUCCCGGCUACUCGGGAGGCUGAAGCAGGAGAAUUGCUUGAUCCUGGGAGGCGGAGGUUGCAGUGAGCUGAGAUUGCACCAUCACACGCCAGCCUGAGCAACAAGAGCGGAAACUCCGUCUCAAAAACAAAACAAAACAAAAAAAAAACGACAGAUCAUUCCAAGUACUGGUGAAGAUAUAGAGCAACUGGAAUCCUCAUACACUGCUGGUGGGAAUGUAAAAUGUUACAAACCUUUUGGAAAAGAGUUUGGCAUUUUCUUAAAAUCUUAAACAUUCACCUGCCAUAUGAGACAGACACUACACUCCUAGGUAUUUAUCAAGAGAAACAAACGCACAUGCUCAGAGCACUCUAUUUCUAAUUGCCCCGAAUGGGAAACAACCCAAAUUCAACAGGUGAAUGGAUAAACAAAUUGCGCUACGUCUGCCAAAUCCACUGCCCACUCCUCACUGUGCUCCAAAUACAAGCAACCAACAUUGGUCAUUGUCUCAACAUAAGCAGAGGCACAGGCAUUGUCCAUUCACUGCACAUUCUUUUGGAGUCUCAUCUAUGUGGAAAAAGAGGAUAUUCAAACGACAUCGGGGUGAGCCACACUGGGUAACCAGUUUAAGGAGCAGAAGAUGGUAGUCAAAAGCUAUUUCAAGUCCUCCUUAGCCAGUACUAUUUCCUAUCAUAUCUGGAUAGGUUUUUUUUAUCUCUUUUUAGCAUCUAACAUUCUCAUUUUUAGGGGGACUUCAUUUUUCCCCAUGUAUUUUCAAUAGACCGUGGCCCCAUCUAUUAUUUUUGAAGAGGAAAACUCCUGGUGCCAAAAAGUCCACCGAUCCUUGGUUCAGACAAGGACUUCCAAUUGCUUAAUGUCAGAUGAAUACUGAAAGGUCACCAGAGGAUACACCACGGAACACAGGGACACCAUGACUAUUGAAGUGUUGAAGAUUCCAGAUGAAACGUUUUUUAAAAUGUAAGCCUACACUGCAGGGCAUGGUGUUGUGCCUGGAGUCCCGGCUACGUGGGAGGCUGAGGUGGGAGGAUCCCUUGAGCCCAGAAAUUCUAGUGCAACCUGAGCAACACAGUGAAACCUCAUUUUUAAUAAAAUAUUUUUUAAGCCUACACUUCCUAAAUUUUGUAUAGUGACUGCACUAAGCACAUUAUAUAUUUUCUUCUUUAGUACUCACACUAAUAGUAUUCAAUAACGCUAUUGCUUCCUGUUUUUGACAGAUGAGAAAUAUGGGGCAUGAUGGGAAUGGCAAGUGUUGGGAAUAAGGGUGUGUAACCACCCUCUUCUCCCAGAUGCCUGUGUCCUUGAGCAAUCUGCUCUUUGCAAAGAGGUUGGACCAGCCUCUGGGUGAUUUCUAACCUCUAACAUUAGAGGGCAGUGACUCUAAGCUAAAACGCCCUUGUGGGAUCCACCGUGCUGGUAUCAAGCCAUGAAGAGGAAGCAUGUGUGCUACAGAAACUCAUAGGUGAAAGCAGCAUCUUUUACUGCCUUAUACACUUGUAGAGUGGGAAGUUUUCGUUCUGGUUGACACCAUGCACAACACAUAAGAGAAAUGGUUAGACUGUUUGAGGAAGUGCACACUAAAAUGCCUGACCCCUGCACAGAGGUGAGUGGAUGCCAUCUGGCCGAGAGGUUCCUGUUAUUAGUAUCUAAUCAGGUUUCCCUGGUAGCUAGAGAACUGCAUGACUUGUUGACUGGAAGGCCUCUUACCUCACAAGGGUGUGGUUUCAGAGGUUUCUGAAGAACAAGUGUGGGAGAACUAACCAUGACUAAGGCAUCUCAGGUCAAUGCAGGUGAAUGAUUAACCCCAG